CACGAAGUUAGCCGGGGCUUCUUCUCACGCUACCGUCAUCAUCGUCGCGUGCGAAAGAGCUUUACAACCCUAAGGCCUUCAUCACUCACGCGGCAUUGCUGGAUCAGGGUUGCCCCCCAUUGUCCAAUAUUCCCCACUGCUGCCUCCCGUAGGAGUCUGGGCCGUGUCUCAGUCCCAGUGUGGCUGAUCAUCCUCUCAGACCAGCUACCGAUCGUCGGCUUGGUGGGCCAUUACCCCACCAACUACCUAAUCGGACGCGGGCCCCUCUCAUGGCGUAAACUUUCCCCCGAAGGGCACAUCCGGUGUUAGCGUCCGUUUCCAGACGUUAUCCCGAACCAUAAGGCAGGUUCCCACGUGUUACUCACCCGUGCGCCACUAAGGCCGAAGCCUUCGUUCGACUUGCAUGUGUUAGGCAUGCCGCCAGCGUCGUUCUGAGCCACGGAGUCAAACUAC
This 453-nucleotide ribosomal RNA is filed under the name uncultured Azospirillum sp. Its description in RNAcentral is "partial 16S ribosomal RNA". The record is from RNAcentral. Lineage: Bacteria; Pseudomonadati; Pseudomonadota; Alphaproteobacteria; Rhodospirillales; Azospirillaceae.